Long non-coding RNA from Nilaparvata lugens (brown planthopper), 1662 nucleotides. RefSeq lists it as uncharacterized. The record is from RefSeq and is a predicted model, not a curated record. Lineage: Eukaryota; Metazoa; Arthropoda; Insecta; Hemiptera; Delphacidae. The transcript has 3 exons.
UAGAGGACAAGAGUAUAAACUAUAUCCAUAGAUUCAUAUCAUUUCACAUCUUUUCCGAAAAAUAAAAUUAUCACGCAUCUGAAACAAACAGAAAUUAUAAUUUAGAGGACAAGAGUAUAAACUAUAUCCAUAGAUUCAUAUCUUUUCACAUCUUUUCAGAAAAAUAAAAUUAUUACGCAUCUGAAACAAACUUUUAAAAUUCGUAAUCUUAAAAUCUUUAAAUUCGUAUUUGCGCGCCUUUUUUGGAGAACGAAGCUUGGAACAAGGGAUUCAUAGAGCUACAUAUUUUGAAAGCAAAUUAUUCCACCUGGAGCGCUGAGAGCUGCCUACGUCAUGGAUUAGCUAUAUAUAGUUUGUUUACAAUGUCGACAGAGUGGUAAAUGGCUUGUUUACAAAGUCGUCCGAGCGCUCUGUCGUCCGAGUGGCUGUCUCCCGAACAGCAGUAUGUUUUUGAUGGCAUAUUUUAUAAAAUAAUCGAAAAGGAGGAGAUUCAUACAUUAUUGGCUGGCAACCCGGACUUCUUCCAGUCCUAUCUGAAAAAAACGAUGGCCACAUCGAGAUGGCUGGUGUAGCAACAGAAGCCACCACAGACAGUCAUGUGUGGACGACUGAAGCGACCAAACUACUUUUGGAAGAGUACCACACGAGGACAAACAAAUUCAGAAACUCUAAAAUUAAAAAUGUAAUACUAUGGAGAGAAAUCAUUGAUGUUUUUGAAGCCCAUGGGUACUCUGGGAUCACUGAAAAGAUCCUAGAUGAUAAAUUUAGAAGUUUGAAACGAACAUUUAAUCGUAUAAAAAAAACAAUGAUACUAGAAAAAGCACUGGUAAGGGGUCCAUCAAGCCUUGGGAAUUUUAUGAUUCGAUGGCAGAUAUUUUGCAAGAUGAUUCUACGGUCAACUUGCAUAAAGCAUUUAUUAUGAGCAGCUCCUUUGCCCCUCCUUCCACAUCAACAUCCCCUGCCCAUCCACUUCCCUCAACUUCCUUUGCCCGUCCACCCCCAUCAUCAUCUCCAGCGAAUCCACUUCCCUCAACUUCCUUUGCCCGUCCACCCCCAUCAUCAUCUCCAGCCAAUCCACUUCCCUCAACUUCCUUUGCCCGCCCACCCCCAUCAUCAUCUCCAGCCCAUCCACUUCCCUCAACAUCCUCCACCCCUCCCCCACCGCCAUCAUCUCCAGCCCAUCCUUUUCCCUCAACAUCCUCCACCCCUCAACCCCAAUCAUCAUCUCCAGCCCAUCCUUUUCCCUCAACAACCUUCACCCCUCCACCACCAUCAGCAUCCCCUGCCCAUCCUUUCCCAUCAACCUCGACAGCUUCAUCUCUCCCAAAUACGCCAACCAAGAGAAAUCUUCCAGAAGAUGAUCCAUCUCCCCGAAAAAGGAUGAGAGUAAAGCCUAGUAGGAGAUGGCAGAAGUUGGAGGAGCAAAGGAGGGAGAGUUUAGAGCUGGAGAGAAAGAGGGUGAAAGCCCUACAGGGGAUUGAACAGGCCAUCAAGGAUUCAAAUAUAAUUGAAAAACAAAAGCUUGAGUUAUUAAAAUUAAAUGUAAAUAUCAACAUUGAAAAAAAUGAGAUAAUGAAAAAAGCUUUGGAAAAAAUUAGUUAAAGCAAGAGUAGGUUAGGUUUCCACAAAAAUGAAAAUAAAAUAAAUUAAUAAAAUACUGAA